This 254-nucleotide ribosomal RNA is filed under the name uncultured bacterium. Its description in RNAcentral is "partial 16S ribosomal RNA". It matches the Rfam family "Bacterial small subunit ribosomal RNA", at positions 524 to 776 of the family's 1533-position model. The record is from RNAcentral.
CACGUAGGGCGCAAGCGUUGUCCGGAUUUAUUGGGCGUAAAGAGCUCGUAGGUGGUUCGGUAAGUCGGAUGUGAAAUCUCCAGGCUCAACCUGGAGGGGUCAUUCGAUACUGCCGUGACUAGAGUUCGGUAGAGGAGUGUGGAAUUCCUGGUGGAGCAGUGAAAUGCGCAGAGAUCAGGAGGAACACCCGUAGCGAAGGCGGCACUCUGGGCCGAUACUGACACUGAGGAGCGAAAGCGUGGGGAGCGAACAGG